CACACACACACACACACACACACACACACACACACACCAAAGUUACACAUAUUGGUGCAAUCAGAAACUAGGAAUACUUUACUUUUGAGACAACUGUAAACUGUAUUUCUACCAUUUAUUUUACAACCCAAAUAAAACUCUUAAAGACA
Long non-coding RNA from Etheostoma spectabile (orangethroat darter), 149 nucleotides. RefSeq lists it as uncharacterized. The record is from RefSeq and is a predicted model, not a curated record. The transcript is spliced from 2 exons. Lineage: Eukaryota; Metazoa; Chordata; Actinopteri; Perciformes; Percidae.